CCCUUGUGGAGGAGGACGCCGAAGGUGGGGCUAAUGACUGGGGUGAAGUCGUAACAAGGUAGCCGUACCGGAAGGUGCGGCUGGAUCACCUCCUAACAGGGAGACAACAAAAUGUUUAAUAUUAUUAUUUUGUCACCUUAGGUCGAUCGGUAUCUCACAUUCUUAAUUUUUUAAGGAUUUCAUUUCCUAAGUUUUUCUAGGUCACACCCAUUAUUUUCCCUGGGCCAUUAGCUCAGGUGGUUAGAGCGCACCCCUGAUAAGGGUGAGGUCCCUGGUUCAAGUCCAGGAUGGCCCAUAUCUCUAUGUUGGGGGUAUAGCUCAGUUGGUAGAGCGCCUGCUUUGCAAGCAGGAUGUCAGCGGUUCGAGUCCGCUUACCUCCACUGAUUACCACCUCUUCCAUAAUUAGUAGAAGGGAAAUGUUUUGAGUCGUGAUCAAAUUCUGAACGAAUCUAGCUUCCUAAUUAUCUUAAUUAAGAUGCUGGACUCAUUGAAUUAAUUUCAUUGUUUUCAGAGAACCUUGACAACUGCAUAGAUUUUUUUAAAGACAAUAAGCAUCUAUUAAUGAUGCAGAUUUAUUAUUUGUGCAAAUGCAUUAAUAACAAUUCUAUUAAGCUGAUGCUUCAAUUAUUGAAGUUAUUGGUCAAGCUACAAAGGGCUCACGGAGGA
RNAcentral lists this unclassified non-coding RNA (666 nucleotides) under uncultured Prochlorococcus sp. RNAcentral's name for it is "partial may contain 16S ribosomal RNA, 16S-23S ribosomal RNA intergenic spacer, and 23S ribosomal RNA". The stretch from base 1 to 96 matches the Rfam family "Bacterial small subunit ribosomal RNA", at positions 1438 to 1533 of the family's 1533-position model. Lineage: Bacteria; Bacillati; Cyanobacteriota; Cyanophyceae; Synechococcales; Prochlorococcaceae. The record is from RNAcentral.